AGAGUUUGAUCCUGGCUCAGAACGAACGCUGGCGGCGUGCCUAACACAUGCAAGUCGAGCGCGAAUGGAGCAAUCCUAGUAGAGCGGCGCACGGGUGAGUAACGCGUGGGUAAUCUGCCUGGAAGCCCGGGACAACCUGCCGAAAGGCUGGCUAAUACCGGAUAAGCCCACAGGGUCUUCGGACCCCGAGGGAAAAGAUGGCCUCUGCAUGCAAGCUAUCAUUUCCAGAUGAGCCCGCGACCCAUCAGCUAGUUGGCGGGGUAAUGGCCCACCAAGGCAACGACGGGUAGCUGGUCUGAGAGGACGAUCAGCCACACUGGAACUGAGACACGGUCCAGACUCCUACGGGAGGCAGCAGUGGGGAAUUUUGCGCAAUGGGCGAAAGCCUGACGCAGCAACGCCGCGUGUGUGAUGAAGGUCUUCGGAUCGUAAAGCACUUUCGACUGGGACGAAAACCCGCUGGCUAACAUCCAGCGGUUUGACGGUACCGGGAGAAGAAGCACCGGCUAACUCUGUGCCAGCAGCCGCGGUAAUACAGAGGGUGCAAGCG
Molecule: ribosomal RNA, 550 nt
Filed under: uncultured bacterium
Lineage: Bacteria
Description: bacterial SSU rRNA
Rfam family: Bacterial small subunit ribosomal RNA
Source: RNAcentral